AUGAACUUCUCAAUUCAACCCAUCAAUUGGGGAAAUGCUACAUUAUGUGGAGGAAGAUAGCAACUCGUCCUCUCCAGUGUAUGAAGCCUAUCAACCACCACUAACUACUUUUGGGGAGCCAAUAGUCAUUGAGAUCCUUAUGGUCUAAGAAGUGACUAGCUUGAGAGCUUCCCAUGCUGCUUCUCGGGUCAACCCACUGGCUUCUUCGAAGGCCAUUGCCACCACAGAGGUGUUUCCUCAUUCUCUUCAAAGUCCUGCAUAGUUUUCUGGUGAGGGGUUGGGCUAAUCUCCUCGGCCCACUUUAGGAAGUAAAGUUGACUAUCCUACACCAUUAAAGGCAACAAGAACUCAUCCACCUUCUUCCAAGGCUCCGAGCUCAACCAAGGGUUCUGGCGAAGGCUGGGGCCAAUCCCUUCCGCCUUUAGUGCACAAAGUAGCUCUUCCUAGGCCUCCCUUGGUUUCUGAGGGUACGAGGAUCCCUAUCCCUCGGCCAAAGAAGAAAAUCAAGACUGCUGUUGGUCCGUCCACUCCUAGGUCUCCUCCUCCCAUUGCUACCGAGACUGCCUCCACUGCUGUAGUUUUUGAAAGAGUUGGAGCAUUGCAUCCUCCUCUCACAUCUAUAUCUGCAAUAGCCUCUUUGCCCGAGCUUGUCUUAGCGCCUUUGGGCCUUCUAUCAUUUAAGCCCAAUAUUCAAAUAUUAACCCAAAUAAUGCCCCUUUUAAUCAUUGUUAAGUCUACAAACCAAGGCCUGAAUGAUGAUUAAAAUGAACUACACGCUUUUGCUUGGGACUUGUACUAUU
Molecule: small RNA, 800 nt
Filed under: Malus domestica (apple)
Lineage: Eukaryota; Viridiplantae; Streptophyta; Magnoliopsida; Rosales; Rosaceae
Description: sRNA MD11G0140900
Source: RNAcentral